Molecule: transfer RNA, 81 nt
Filed under: Intestinibacter bartlettii
Lineage: Bacteria; Bacillati; Bacillota; Clostridia; Peptostreptococcales; Peptostreptococcaceae
Also listed under: 1 other name
Description: tRNA-Tyr
Rfam family: tRNA
About the family: Transfer RNA (tRNA) molecules are approximately 80 nucleotides in length. Their secondary structure includes four short double-helical elements and three loops (D, anti-codon, and T loops).
Source: RNAcentral
GGGCGAGUGAGCAGAAUUGGUAUUGCAGCGGUCUGUAAAAUCGUGGCUUCGGCAUUGUAGGUUCAAGUCCUACCUCUCCCA